AGUGAACGCUGGCGGUAGGCCUAACACAUGCCGGUCGAACGGCAGCACAGUAAGAGCUUGCUCUUACGGGUGGCGAGUGGCGGACGGGUGAGGAAUACAUCGGAAUCUACUUUUUCGUGGGGGAUAACGUAGGGAAACUUACGCUAAUACCGCAUACGACCUACGGGUGAAAGCAGGGGAUCUUCGGACCUUGCGCGAUUGAAUGAGCCGAUGUCGGAUUAGCUAGUUGGCGGGGUAAAGGCCCACCAAGGCGACGAUCCGUAGCUGGUCUGAGAGGAUGAUCAGCCACACUGGAACUGAGACACGGUCCAGACUCCUACGGGAGGCAGCAGUGGGGAAUAUUGGACAAUGGGCGCAAGCCUGAUCCAGCCAUACCGCGUGGGUGAAGAAGGCCUUCGGGUUGUAAAGCCCUUUGUUGGGAAAGAAAAGCAGCAGGUUAAUACCCCGCUGUUCUGACGGUACCCAAAGAAUAAGCACCGGCUAACUUCGUG
RNAcentral lists this ribosomal RNA (491 nucleotides) under uncultured bacterium. Its description in RNAcentral is "partial 16S ribosomal RNA". It matches the Rfam family "Bacterial small subunit ribosomal RNA", at positions 29 to 507 of the family's 1533-position model. The record is from RNAcentral.